Molecule: ribosomal RNA, 275 nt
Filed under: Rhipicephalus turanicus
Lineage: Eukaryota; Metazoa; Arthropoda; Arachnida; Ixodida; Ixodidae
Description: partial 16S ribosomal RNA
Source: RNAcentral
GGUAUUUUGACUAUACAAAGGUAUUGAAAUAAGAUUUUAAUUGAAUGCUAAGAGAAUGGAAACCCAGAAAAAAACUUUUUUUAAAUUAAAAAUUGAAAUUUUUUUAAUUUGUGCAGAAACAAUUAUUAAUAUUAAGGACAAGAAGACCCUAUGAAUUUAUAAAAUUCUAUUUAAUAUGUUAUUGCUGUUGUAGAAUUUUUGGCUGGGGCGGCUAAAAAAUAUCUUAAACUUUUUAAAAAUAAAAUGAUCCAUUAUUAAUGAUUACAUGUAAAAUA